Molecule: ribosomal RNA, 520 nt
Filed under: uncultured bacterium
Lineage: Bacteria
Description: bacterial SSU rRNA
Rfam family: Archaeal small subunit ribosomal RNA
Source: RNAcentral
AACCUCCGCAAUGUGAGAAAUCGCGACGGGGGGAUUCCAAGUGCCAUUCUUAACGGGAUGGCUUUUCAUUAGUGUAAAGAGCUUUUGGAAUAAGAGCUGGGCAAGACCGGUGCCAGCCGCCGCGGUAACACCGGCAGCUCUAGUGGUAGCAGUCUUUAUUGGGCCUAAAGCGUCCGUAGCCGGUUUAAUAAGUCUCUGGUGAAAUCCUGUAGCUUAACUGUGGGAAUUGCUGGAGAUACUAUUAGACUUGAGAUCGGGAGAGGUUAGAGGUACUCCCAGGGUAGAGGUGAAAUUCUGUAAUCCUGGGAGGACCGCCUGUUGCGAAGGCUUCUAACUGGAACGAUUCUGACGGUGAGGGACGAAAGUUAGGGGCGCGAACCGGAUUAGAUACCCGGGUAGUCCUAACUGUAAACGAUGCGGACUUGGUGUUGGGGUGGCUUUGAGCUGCUCCAGUGCUGAAGGGAGCUGUUAAGUCCGCCGCCUGGGAAGUACGGUCGCAAGACUGAAACUUAAAGGAAUU